This 2720-nucleotide long non-coding RNA is filed under the name Marmota monax (woodchuck). The record is from RNAcentral. Lineage: Eukaryota; Metazoa; Chordata; Mammalia; Rodentia; Sciuridae.
GUCACUGUGAACAGUUUAUUUGGGACUCAUGGUUUCAGAACUCUCAGUCCAUAGAUGGUCAUCUCCAUUGCUUUGGGCUCAAGGUAAGGCAGAACACCAUGGCAGAAGGUGUGGAGGAGGAAGACAACUCAGGACAUGACAAUCAGGAAGCAGAGAAACUCUACUCACCAGGAGUGCCCAAAGGCAUGCUCCCAAUGACCCACCUCCUACAGCCACACCGUGCCUGGCCAGGUUACCACUCACUUAACCCCUAUAAGUGGAUUAAUGCACUGAUUAGGUUAUGAGUCUCAUAACCCUCUCACUUCACCUCUGAGCCUUCUAGUGUUGUCUCACAUGUGAGUUUUGGGGGAUACCUUUUAUCUAAACCAUAACAGGAAGUAAGAAGGGAGAGAAAGUAAUGAGCUCAGAAAAAAAUGAUACAGUAUGAAGUAUCAUUACUCCAUCAGGAGGCAUGUUGGGAGAUUUUUCUCUCUGCUCAACUAUGGACAGAAACUUCUACAUGCUUAUUACCAGGAUCAACUUGGAUGUGCACAGGCCUCUGUACACACAUAUUCUGAUAGCCCUUCUGGUAUCCUGAGGGAGCCUGAGGCUGCUACCAUUUGGGCACCUUUUAGGAACCCAGCAGAGGAACUUCCUAUUCAGUUAGGACCAAAGCAUUUUCGGCCACAUGUAUGAAGGUCUUUCAGCAUCGAAGCCUUUUAAAUUGUGGAUGGACAGAAUGCCUUUAUUUGUUUAUUUUUAUGUGGUGCUAAGGAUCAAACCCAGUGCCUGACACAUGCUAGGCAAGUGCUCUGCCACUGAGCCAUAGCCCCAGCCCCAGCAUUGAAGCUUUUUGAGCUUGGAUAACACUAAUCCAUUUUUCAUAGAUGCCAUGAGACAGAUUUCUCCUGUCCCACAGAUUCUUUCUUCUAGUCUGUUCUCCUUAUCUUUCCAAGCAAAAAGAGGAACAGGGAAGUAGAAAAUAUAACCUCUAAGAAUUCCUCAUCUUUGAUUCUGCAUCUGUUAGCAUCUUUUAUCUGGUAUGGAACAAAGGACCUUUCCAUUUCUAUCAGAUAAUUGUCAUCAAUUGUUGUCUUCAUUAAUUUUAAUUCCUUUAUUACUUAAUUCAAAUGUAAAAUACACCAUGUUAACAGUUGCUGCAAUUUUAAUUUUAUAUGUUAACCUUAACUCAUUUUUUCAAAAGUUAAAGUUUAGUUAUUUUAUUUUUUAUUUUGUGGUACUAGGAAUGGAACCCAGGGCCUUGCACUUUUAAGGCAAGUACUGUACCACUGAACUGCAUCCCCAGCCCUUCACUUUAACUUUAACUCAACCUUUCAUAAAUAUUUUGUGAUUUCUUAGAUACGUCACUCAGAUGUUGACCUAGCAUUAAUAAUUCUUUGACAUAAUUUCCUUUUUAAUAAAAAAUGCUCUUCAUUUGCAUUAACUAAAUUCAAAUAGAAAGAAGUUAUGGAUGAAAUGGCAUGUUGCUAAUGAAAUAUGAUAAAUCUGUUAAAUUACAUGUUUGAACAGUUUUUCUUAUAAUUUGUUGUGCCUUUUGCGAUCAUCUGCAUUGACAGUGGUUCUGACAUCUAAUCCCUGGCUGUGGUAGGCAGGCCAAAUUUGUUAUAAUAUCAAGGGAGUCUGUUUUCUGCACUUCACUCUCUCUGCUUCUCCCCAUACAAGCCUGUUCUUGUUUUAAAUAUUAUAUAUUUCUCUCUGUGGACUGUCAAACUGUGGAAAGUUACAUGUUGGAACCAUUGUUAAUGUCGAUGAUUGGGAAGAUAGAACUUGCUCAGUUCUGUCUGCAUAGAGGGCAAGAAGUGGAGGGAGCCCAGAGUCUUGCCGUUAAAUACACUCAGGUAGAGAGGUAGAGGUGAGCCUGGUGUGGUUGAGCAUAGCCAGCACAGCAGCUUCAGGGCUGCUCUGUGGUCACACAUCAUUGCUGUGCCUUGUACUUGCCCACAGAAUGCCUUAGUUCCUCUUGCUAUCUGAAGGUGUCAUCAGAAUGUGGGGUGAUAUCCGGCUGGUUGUCCAUGCUGAUGUUUUUGAGUAGCUUCUAAUAGAAGUGAAAAAGAAAACAUAACCAAAAUUUGUUUCUUUCAGUUCAUUAUGGCUAUCAUAUUUAAAGGAAUUGUUUGUAUUUAUUUAUGAUAGAAUUGCUUUGUUAUUGAAUUGAUUGACUUAAGAUGCUGGAAUGAUUGGCUUUUUCAAACUUAAGUGCAAAAGCAGAAUUACUAUGAAAUAAAUUCUCAACCAUUUUACCUCAGAUGAGGUCUUUCAGUGCUCUCUUGAACUUAUUUUCUCCAUCAAAUAAAGUUCAUUUAUAAAGUUAGCAUAGUUUCUCAUCAGCACCCUACCAUUGAUAAAAUAGAACCUAAAAUGUUGAGACAUGGAAAGAAAGUGACAAAGUGCUUUUGUCUGCACUGCUGGUCAGAGGAAAUUCAAGUUAGUUUUGUUGAAGGUUUGGUGUUUUCCAUGAGCAGUGAAUGAAAGCACCUUUUUUUCUUUUUUCUCUUUUUUGAGGGUGGGGGGAAUGCCAGUUAUUGAAUCCAGGGGCUCUUGACCACUGAGCCACAUCCCCAGCCCUAUUUUGUAUUUUAUUUAGAGACAGGGUCUUAUCGAGUUUCUUAGUACCUUGCUCUUUUGCUGAAACUGGCUUUGAACUCACCAUUCUCCUGCCUCAGCCCCCCGAGCCACUGGGAUUACAGGCCUGCACCAUUGUGCCCAGCCCCUUCCUCUUU